UUUACUCGGGUGGCUGGGUGAGGGCGGAAUACUACCUUCCAGCUGUCUGAGAUUAAGCCUAAGCCACCACCAUCAGGGUCUCAGUCAGUCAUCAUUCUCAUUUACUCGGGUGGCUGGGCGAGGGCGGAAUACUACCUUCCAGCUGUCUGAGAUUAAGCAGAACAGCAGCUAAAGCAGUAACAGCAGGUCUCCUUCAGCAGCUUGCCACAGGGAAGAGGGUCCCGCGUGAACCGAACUCAACUUCCACCUGCGCAGAGGCUGGAGUAUAGUGGCAUGAUCAUAGAUCACUGCAGCCUCAAACUCCUGGGCUCAAGCGAUCCUCCCACCUCAGCCUCCAUAUAGCUGGUGGGGACCAAGUUUCUAACACAUGAAUGUUGGGAGACACAUUCAGACCAUCGCAGUGGCCUUAUAAAAAGAGACACAAGAGCUUGCUCUCUGCCAUGUGAGAAUACCACAAGAAGACUGUCCUCAGCAAAUCAGAAAGCGGGUGGACCCUCAUCAGACACCAGAUGUGCCUGCACCUUGAUCUUGGACUUGCCAGCCUUCAGAACAGUAAGAAAGAAAUGUGUGUUGUUUAAGCCACCCAGUCUAUGGUAACUUGCUAUAGCAGCCCACUAGGAGACCCCAAGAUAUUUAAAAACUCAUCAGCACCUGCUUUCUGCAUCUGGACCCUGAUCUUCUGGCCAUCAGCUGGAUGAAGAAUUAAUUUAGUAAGCAUGAAACAGCUUGCAAAGCAUUGGUGAGUGGCUGAGGGCCAUGAAACGAGACCACCGUGUGGCCCAUCUCUGAAGAUGAAUCCAACAGCAGUGACUCUACCUGCGUCCUCCCCAUCUUUUCUGCUUUUUCAUACAAUGGCUUAUUCACUGCGUGUGACAUCAUCACUAGCACUGUGUUUAUCUAUCACAUUUCUUCUGUUUUGUGGGUUUGUUUUGCAUUAAAGGUCUACUUCUCUGAGCUUUGAGCUGUAAGGCUUGACUGUGAGCAGCAACUGAAGAGUGUGGCACCUCACACUCGGUAGGAAGAAGCUGAAUGACAGAUGUCGGCAGUGAGGGUGGGGAAAGCAGCCAGGUACCAAGCAGCUGUUUUUUAGGCUAACCAUUGAAGGGAAGCUCCUAAUCCCUGAGUUAACUUUUAGCAGAGAUUAACUCAGUCUAUCUAUUGGGAUGUAAAGGAUUUGGGCAUAAAGGUAUGUUAAUUCGGAGGCUCUGGAAUGUAUAACAAUUUCUCCCAUUGAAAUUUAUGAUAAUUAAGUGUUCAACUUACUGGAAUUUUCCCCACAAGACUCUUCUGGGAUGAAUUUGCCUUGGGGAGAAGACUACGUAACUGAAAACCAGCAUCCAGGCCCUCAAGAAGAAAUAUAAUCUCCAACAGUCUCCUUUUCAAUUUCUGUCAAAUGUCUGGCUUCUCUUGAAGGGAUGUUCACGAGAAGGGACAGCCGCCCUCCUCCGAGCCUCCUGUUUCAGCUGAUGCACCUUCAAGUACAAGGUCCUGUUCUUGGGCUCUGUUAAAGUUUCCCUCAAGAAAAAAACCUUACAUUUGCCAAUGCACUUGAUGUAAAGUUGUUGAGGAUGUUGACUCUCCUUUAAACAUUUAUUGAAGCUA
Long non-coding RNA from Homo sapiens (human), 1602 nucleotides. Ensembl annotates it as long intergenic non-protein coding RNA 847. NCBI's taxonomy places the organism in Eukaryota, Metazoa, Chordata, Mammalia, Primates, Hominidae. The record is from Ensembl.